GGCCCGGAUAUUGCUGAAUCUAUCGUACAGGUAGCCAACGGCGGUUGCCCCUUCACGACAAAGACGUCGC
Non-coding RNA from Pseudomonas alkylphenolica, 70 nucleotides. The record is from Rfam. Lineage: Bacteria; Pseudomonadati; Pseudomonadota; Gammaproteobacteria; Pseudomonadales; Pseudomonadaceae.